Molecule: ribosomal RNA, 253 nt
Filed under: uncultured bacterium
Lineage: Bacteria
Description: partial 16S ribosomal RNA
Rfam family: Bacterial small subunit ribosomal RNA
Source: RNAcentral
UACGUAGGGUGCAAGCGUUGUCCGGAAUUAUUGGGCGUAAAGAGCUCGUAGGCGGUCUGUCACGUCGGCUGUGAAAUCCCGAGGCUCAACCUCGGGUCUGCAGUCGAUACGGGCAAACUAGAGUAUUGCAGGGGAGACUGGAAUUCCUGGUGUAGCGGUGGAAUGCGCAGAUAUCAGGAGGAACACCGGUGGCGAAGGCGGGUCUCUGGGCAGUAACUGACGCUGAGGAGCGAAAGCGUGGGGAGCGAACAGG